CACGUAGGCGGAUAUUUAAGUCAGGGGUGAAAUCCCAGAGCUCAACUCUGGAACUGCCUUUGAUACUGGGUAUCUUGAGUAUGGAAGAGGUAAGUGGAAUUGCGAGUGUAGAGGUGAAAUUCGUAGAUAUUCGCAGGAACACCAGUGGCGAAGGCGGCUUACUGGUCCAUUACUGACGCUGAGGUGCGAAAGCGUGGGGAGCAAACA
RNAcentral lists this ribosomal RNA (207 nucleotides) under uncultured bacterium. RNAcentral describes it as "partial 16S ribosomal RNA". It matches the Rfam family "Bacterial small subunit ribosomal RNA", at positions 568 to 774 of the family's 1533-position model. The record is from RNAcentral.